CGGAGGCUUCUAAAAAUGCAUUAGUUUCCAGCUUCCCAGGUGAGAGCCGAGGUCUCCAAAGAGCAAAGUGGAUUCUGGCUGAAGCUGAGUCAGUAAUCAGCUUUGUUGGCCUUUGACUCUACCCAAUUUGCUUGCUCUGAGGAGGUGUGUAGAGUGAAUGUACACACAGAAAAUGUGUCAUGGUUCCUGUAUUCCAGGAAGAAAGAUGCCCCACAGGCUCACUCCUCCAGCCUUCUUUUCCAGCAGGGGACCCAGAAGGACAGCUGGGAAAGCAGCAAGAUGACCAUCUACGUGUUGUCCUUUGGGAAUGACUUUCAAGUUCAUGGCUGCGGUGGCUGCUACCCAAAGUCAACAGCACGGAAACCUUCCUGUUAUAUCAGAACCUCUAUCUAAAAAUGGAUUGACUCAAUAGGAAAGCAACAGCAAAAGGGACAUUGAUGUGAAAGGAAGGUCAAUGAAAACCACCUUGCUUUCAGUCUG
This 480-nucleotide long non-coding RNA is filed under the name Lynx canadensis (Canada lynx). Its description in RNAcentral is "lncRNA (ENSLCNG00005003012.1)". The record is from RNAcentral. Lineage: Eukaryota; Metazoa; Chordata; Mammalia; Carnivora; Felidae.